This 250-nucleotide unclassified non-coding RNA is filed under the name Dalbergia hancei. RNAcentral describes it as "contains psbA-trnH intergenic spacer". The record is from RNAcentral. Lineage: Eukaryota; Viridiplantae; Streptophyta; Magnoliopsida; Fabales; Fabaceae.
UAUUUUAGUCUUAAAGGAUACGAGUUUUUGAAAGUAAAGGAGCAAUAUCAACAGAGUUUCUAUUGCUCCUUUACUUUUUUUUUUUACAUCGCAAAGUCAUAUGUUUAAAAAAAAAAACAAAUGAAUGCUUCCAUUCUUUUGCUUUUUGUACCCCAUUCUAUCUUAGGAAACGAGUAAAAACUAAAGUUAGAGAAGAAACAGAAAAAGAAUAACAAAAGAAAAGAGUAUAAAUGGUUUAGUCUAGGAGAUU